Molecule: transfer RNA, 73 nt
Filed under: Stegodyphus mimosarum
Lineage: Eukaryota; Metazoa; Arthropoda; Arachnida; Araneae; Eresidae
Rfam family: tRNA
About the family: Transfer RNA (tRNA) molecules are approximately 80 nucleotides in length. Their secondary structure includes four short double-helical elements and three loops (D, anti-codon, and T loops). Further hydrogen bonds mediate the characteristic L-shaped molecular structure. tRNAs have two regions of fundamental functional importance: the anti-codon, which is responsible for specific mRNA codon recognition, and the 3' end, to which the tRNAs corresponding amino acid is attached (by aminoacyl-tRNA synthetases). tRNAs cope with the degeneracy of the genetic code in two manners: having more than one tRNA (with a specific anti-codon) for a particular amino acid; and 'wobble' base-pairing, i.e. permitting non-standard base-pairing at the 3rd anti-codon position.
Source: Rfam by way of RNAcentral
GCCUUCGUGGUGUAAUGGUCAGCACACUCGGCGCGUAUUCCAGAGGUCCAGGGUUCGAAUUCCGGCGAGGACA